Long non-coding RNA from Episyrphus balteatus (marmalade hoverfly), 475 nucleotides. RefSeq lists it as uncharacterized. The record is from RefSeq and is a predicted model, not a curated record. The transcript has 3 exons. NCBI's taxonomy places the organism in Eukaryota, Metazoa, Arthropoda, Insecta, Diptera, Syrphidae.
AUCCGAGUAUUUUUUUUUAUGCAUAGCUUACCUUCCUGUCUUAUGAUAUGAGACAUAAUUUUUGUUGUGACUGAAAUUCUUGACAUUUCUCAACAGUUCGUGGUACCAUACGCUGCAGCGGCGAAAAUUAAAAAAUGGUAAAUUGAGAAAGUGUUUUAGGAAUAUUCCCGAUUAUUUUUGAAAUCCUGAAGGAAAAAUAAAAUUCAUAAUGAUGAAAACAUAAAAGUGGUGAAUUUCCGGCGGUCCAGUUAGAAAUUUGAGUGCUGGGCCGCUGUAAUAUUUUAUGGAUGUUUUUUUUUAAUGUUCCUGCUCACGAGGUUCCACUUCCAACUUGCUGAUUUGUAUUCUAAUUGCAAUUUGUCAUUGGCUAACCCACCGACUACGGGCCUUAUAUCGGUCAGGGUUUUUAAUGAUAUAUUGAGCCAGAACAAGGAGUGAAAAUUACCCUAUUCUUUGGAAAGUAUAGGCUCUGAAC